UACGUAUGGAGCAAGCGUUAUCCGGAUUUACUGGGUGUAAGGGGAGCGCAGGCGGUCUGGCAAGUCUGAUGUGAAAGGCCGGGGCUCAACCCCGGGACUGCAUUGGAAACUGUCAGACUGGAGUGUCGGAGAGGUAAGCGGAAUUCCUAGUGUAGCGGUGAAAUGCGUAGAUAUUAGGAGGAACACCAGUGGCGAAGGCGGCUUACUGGACGAUGACUGACGCUGAGGCUCGAAAGCGUGGGGAGCAAACAGG
This 253-nucleotide ribosomal RNA is filed under the name uncultured bacterium. RNAcentral's name for it is "partial 16S ribosomal RNA". It matches the Rfam family "Bacterial small subunit ribosomal RNA", at positions 524 to 776 of the family's 1533-position model. The record is from RNAcentral.